AGAACUACACAUCCUGUCAACAAGCUUUGAUGUCAUUCUUCAAGACGCAGGGUAGAAAAAUUCUCCACAUUUCUCCAUUUGAUUGUUUUCUUAUCUCUGUAAGCGAGAGAAGUCGCUGGAGCUGUGUGAUAAGUACAACAGGAGUAUAUCCCUCAGACAAUCCGGUGCAUGGACAUCUUGUGUCAGGUGUGAUCCGAGCGUGAGCGUCUAGUUGUGGAGACUACAGCAGAUCGAGCCUGUGGACGGACAGACAUGAGGCGUGACAUGCGGAACAUCAAGCUCACCCCACGAGAAGCAGUGCAUGAUCAACGCCAUCCUCAGCAAGGAGAUCUGCUGGAAGUGAUGUACUCUCUCUCUCUCACUCACUCUGGGGGUAAGACAUAAUUUAAACAUCACAGAUAUAUAUUCCCACUGUGCCCAUGAUAAAAUGCAAUGUAAACUGUUUUACUACUGAAUGAAACUGUGAGGAGAUGCAUUCAGACCAGCCUGUGAAUGAACUUAAGUUAACUAUAUUACUUUAGUUGGCUGCUUUGAGCAAAACGUGAAAAUAAUAUAACCUAUUCUAGGAACCUUUUGUUUGUGUAUGAUCUUUAUUCAUUGUUCACUUGUUUUUCAACAAUGUCAGGUACAGGCAGGGGUGACUGGGGCAUUGUCAGGUACAGGCAGGGGUGACUGGGGCAUCACAUUUAUAAAUUCCCACUGUGCCCAUGAUAAAGUUAACCACAUUACUUUAUUUGUAUGUAAUAUAACCUAUUAUGGGAGCCUAGUGUGUUUGUAUGAACUGUGUGGGAUAUUGUUGGAAUAUGAGUCUGUCAGAGGUUGUCACGCUGGAUGGGGAUGAUGAUGGAGGCUUUGGUGGUCCACACAACGAAGAAGUAGGUGUCCCUUCCAGUGAUGAGGAUCUGACCUUGGACCUGGUACCAGUAAGAAUGGUCUUUACGGAGGUGGUAAGACCCUACCUCCUUGAUAUAGAAAUCCUUUGACUUCACUGCCUCUUCAGUGGUAAGAUCCCUUGCACCAUAAGGACACUUGACCUCCACCACUGCUGUGGUGCCCACCAGGCCAUCCGGUGAGGCACCCAGGAUCCCAGACUCCAUGACCCAAAGCCUUGACUCCUGCAGAUCCAGCCCUGUAGCCAUUUUUAAUGCCCUCUUUGUUAUCUGUGCCCCACUUUAAUACAACAACCCAUCCAAUGACUGAUCGGAGGACCCUUUUUAGCAGCAACAGAGUAACGGGCUUGGCCCUAACCACUGAUCCAUAACUGCUGGCCGUCAACCUCCCUCCCCUCAUGGUGUGCCAGUUAGGGUUGGUGCGCUGUCCAACUGUUGCCUGCCGUAAAGCCUCCUGCUGCUCCACCGACAGCGCCAUGCCAGCCAGGAUGCCUGCAAGCCGCAGGUUCCCUUGCUUCUAAACAAUGUCCGGUACAGACAGGGAUGACAGGAAGGGUAGCACUUGUUCUGGCUCAGGUUCAUGGAGAUAUGCCAUUCCACUGAACUUGCCCUGGAGACGGUUCCUUAGCCACCUCUGUGGGAUCCCCUGGGCAGAGGGUUGUAGUCUUCGGCCGGGUACAGGUCCUCCACUAACUUCACCUGGUUGGGCAUGGCUGGCUUAGGCUAUAUGGCUACACUUAUGAGCUCCACAGAGGCAUUCGCAUGGAGUAGAGAGAAUCCCCUGGUCACCUAUAGACACCUGCCAAGAGGAAGGAUGUUAAGUGCCACGUCUUUCAAUGCAUGACUUUGAACACCUUAAUUCAUUUGUUAUAAGAAAUGUGCUAUAUAAAAAAAGUUUGAUUUGAUUGAUGACAUUACAGCUGUAGAAUAUUUCAUAAACUGUAAUUUUCUCGAGGACAAGUGCAGUUUUUCUAUACAUUUUUAAUUGAUAACUUGGGAUUUUAUCACUUGACAUGUAAAUCAUAUAGUGGGAAGGAUCCUAUAAAUCAAGACUGUGUAAAUAAAUAAUGUGCCUUUGAAGAUUUGUCUCUGGUCACGCAAAUACAAUACAGACUCGAUGUCUAAACAAAGUCAAUUCUGAAUGUCAAUAGAUUUUUUGAUUCAUUCUCAUCAAUGACAACAUUCUAGAACUGAGUUAUCACUCACCUAAGUCUGGCAUCCGGGGUAAUCUGGUUAAUGAUUAUAUAGUUGAUUAAGUGGCUCUUUCCUUGUAGAACAUUGACAGCUGUAUAGAACACAUUGUAUUGCUAAUAUGCUCAAAUUUAACUUAAUAGAUACACUCACCGACACAGGAUAAACUUUAUCCCUCAUGCUGGCCCUCACCAAACCAGUAAAUUGCACCUCACAAUAGCUGCACUUGUCCACAUUGCCAGAUUUAUAGGGGUCUUCUCCCCUUUUAAUGCUCAUCCUUGAAAAAUGCUAUAAGGUCUUAAAUAGACACCAAAGUCAAUAUACUGUACAAACAACUAUCUAGGCUGAU
This is a non-coding RNA of Salmo salar (Atlantic salmon), 2430 nucleotides long. The record is from RefSeq and is a predicted model, not a curated record. NCBI's taxonomy places the organism in Eukaryota, Metazoa, Chordata, Actinopteri, Salmoniformes, Salmonidae.